Molecule: long non-coding RNA, 1279 nt
Organism: Heterocephalus glaber (naked mole-rat)
Lineage: Eukaryota; Metazoa; Chordata; Mammalia; Rodentia; Bathyergidae
Source: Ensembl
GUGCGCCACAGUGGGCGGUGCUGGACAGGUUCCACGUAAGGAGGAAGUCUCACAGGGAACGCCUUUCCGACUCAGAGGUGUGGAGACACAGCCCGGCAACGAAAGAAGGAGAAGCAACUCCCUGGGAAGAGGGAACCACAGAGGAGCGUUCCUUGUCUAGGGAUCGAACUCUGGUCCUUGUGCUUGUGCAGCAGGCAGUGAAACCACUGAGCUAAAUCCCCGGCCCUAGACUGGCUCCCGCACAGAUCUGGGCAGUACCAGUUCCAGCAGAUACUUUCUCUGGUUGGAUCUCUGCUUCAAGCCCACCACGGCAUCUCUGCUGCGGGUGCAGCUCCAGCCUCACAGACGUGGAGUGGGUCAGCCUGCUGUGCUGUAAGGAAGUGUGGUCCUUCACAUUAUUUGGCUUAGUCCUCUAUGACUGCUUUUUUCUCUUCAUCAGGAAACAGAGCAGUUCUGCAGGACCAUCCAUUACAGAUGGUUGUGCCAGUGGUGAAGACAAAAGAAGGCUUUGAUUGCAUUUUGAACCAGAUUGUUUAAGUUGACUGUAUUACAGUACUUCUUCACAAUGGAGCAGCAAGCACAGAUGAGAAAUACCUUUCUACACUAGUACUGAGGGAUCUUCAGAUUUGAAUAUUAAGUGAAAAAGGUAGAGGGAAUAGAAAAAUAUAUGCAAUUUUAUUUUUAAAAUGAAAAAAUAAAUCAUAAAAAAUGUUGAAGUCAUUAUGGAACAGGAAGGAGUAGAGGGGAGAUAAGGAUUUUGGAACAAAGGAAAGAGCUAUACAAUCAAAAGGGGUUAGAGCUGGAGGUGUGUAGCUCAGCAGGAGAGCACAUGCUUAGCAAGUGUGAGGCCUUAGGCUCACUCCCCAGCACCAAAAAAAGAAAAGAGAGGAAGAAGUUGGGUGCAAUUAAAUAAAACCUAGAAUCCCUGAAUUUAAGUUGGAAAUUUCAGUUUAAAUAAUGUAUUUUAUUAAAAAAAGAAAAAGACCAAACCAAACCAAAUCAUUUUACCCAGCACUGUCCACCAAACAAGUAACUCAUUUAUACCACCACAGUCCUUCAGAUUGUGGUCUUUAAAUAGUUUCCCAUUAAAAGAAACAGCACUGUGAUAAGCAGUAUAUGAUAUAAUUUUUAUACUUCCCCAGAAGUCAGUGUUAUUCUUUUAUAGUACAAAACGGACAUGUUUGGGACACUGAGACUGAAUAGGUGUCAAAAGAGCUGCAAAAUGAAAAACAGAGAAAUGUUAGCAUAUCAGAGACAAAAAGUCUGUGUUGUGAAAUGG